RNAcentral lists this ribosomal RNA (238 nucleotides) under uncultured bacterium. RNAcentral describes it as "partial 16S ribosomal RNA". It matches the Rfam family "Bacterial small subunit ribosomal RNA", at positions 100 to 334 of the family's 1533-position model. The record is from RNAcentral.
CCGGCACGGGUGAGUAACGCGUAUGCAACUUACCUAUCAGAGGGGGAUAACCCGGCGAAAGUCGGACUAAUACCGCAUGAAGCAGGGAUCCCGCAUGGGAAUAUUUGCUAAAGAUUCAUCGCUGAUAGAUAGGCAUGCGUUCCAUUAGGCAGUUGGCGGGGUAACGGCCCACCAAACCGACGAUGGAUAGGGGUUCUGAGAGGAAGGUCCCCCACAUUGGAACUGAGACACGGUCCAA